ACCAUCCUUCAAGUCCAUAGGAAGCCUGCUGUGCACAGAAGUCUGCUUGGAGCCCUUGUGUCCCCUUUGAACAUCUGCGUCCUGAUCAGUUCGAGCGUAUUUAUGGAGACCUCUGAGGUGCCCGGCACAAGAAGCUCCAAGCAGUUUAACACUAGUCCCGCCCACCCGUGGGCGGGAGAGAAGAGACACAAAAGAAGCGGUAAGGACAUAAGGCAGGCGUGUGCUGGGUGAGGGGUCAAGGCAGGUGGGCAGGCAGGUAGGUCAUCCUCGGAUGCCAGGGAGCGGGACAGGGCGGGGAUGGAGAGACAGAAGGAAGAGCAGAUCAGGGAAGGAAUUCAGGAGGCACUGCCUUCCAAGGAGGCGCGGCCACGCUCCCUGGAGAUUCGACAUGAGGUCAGAGUCUUAGGAGCAGCAAAUCAGGCCCUGAAUGCCUAACCCAGCUUCAUUAAACCCACUGGCUUGAGGGGCUUGAGUUAGAGUUUAGGAAAAUCUUUACAGCACUAAACGUCCCUCCUUCAAACCUAGAGACCCCCCCCCUCCCUCCCCAGAGGGAGAAUACCUUCUUCCUAGGGAAUACCUCCCUCCACCUGCCUCACUCACCUCCAAGCCCACACUGGUUUCCCGCUACUGGAAGGCUCUUCUCCAGAUAUCCGCACAGCUGAAUCCCUCACUGGGCCCCACACCUCAUCAGUAAGGCUUCCAACUGCCCUUGAUUAAGUAUCAGCCCUCCCUCCCGCUCAGUACCCUUUCCUGCGCUACGUUGCCCAUUACACCUACCAUCAUCUGGCACUCAAUAUGUUUACUUGUUGGCUGCCUCUCCCAUCAGAUGUGAGCUACAACAGUCCCAGAUACGCAGUAGGUAAGCAGCAAGCAAACGUUGAAUGAAUGAGCGCAUGAACGGUCUGUCUUAGUGAAUCUCCAGAGAAUCCUCCCUAGGAUAGAGCGGGUGCUCCUGUUGGCCAAGAGCUUGGGUUUCGCGGACGGCGGCGGGAGGCAGCUACAUCCCGGUGGGAUUUCACCGUGUCGUGAGCAGUGGUAACCAGCCCGAUCACGCAUCCCCCCAGGAGGUACAGGUGCCACGUUGAACCAGCUCCUCACAUGGACGAGGAGGAAACAGAGGCCUACAGUGGGCACGGCACAGAGUCUGGCCAAGCCUCCCGCCUUGAAGCUCUUCCCAGCGCACCACACUGUCCCCAUGUGAUCCCUACAGCUCUGGGAGGCCGAUCCAGAGCAAGAGGCCGUGACGCACGUCAUAGGUCACCCGCCCUGCCUGGAGGCCGGGAAGAUCUGCCUGUGCGGCCACUUCCACGUCCUGAGAACCUGAGACCCACUCCCAGGACCACAGCCAUGGAGCCAAGGUCAAGGGAGAGAAGAAGAGAGCAGUGGGGGCUCAGCAGGCCACCUCCCCACUCCUGGAGGCCGCAGGAUGAGAUGGCCCAAGACAGGCCUGGUGAGGACAAUCAAUCCAGUGGCAAAAUAUACGAAGUUUGUGCCCUGGGCGGGUCACGUGAUCUAGACAUGCUCCCACCCCAGGGCCUUUGCACGUGCUGUUCGUGCUGCCUGAUUCUCUUUUCCCCUCAGAUUUCUAUAGCACUCACUCUCUCGGGUCUUUGCUUAACUGACCCCUUCUCCGUCAGACUUUCCUUAGGCACCCUAUUUAAAUCGAAGCUCCCCCCCACCCCCGCCACCAUUUCCCUGCUUUAUUUUUUUCCAUAGCACUUCCUGCUAUCUGACAUACUGGGUUCUUUCCCUCUCUCCCCCCCGCCCUUCCUUCCUUCCUUCCACGGUCUGCCUCCUUUAAUAGAACGUGAGAACCAUAGCAAUUGUGUUUACAGGUGUAUUUCUGGUUCUCUAUUGCUGAGUCACGGAUCACCCCAAAAAGUCCAGCAGCUGAAAACCAGCGCUUAGCUCUCCAAGUGCCCGCGAGCCAAGAGCCCCGACGAGAUGGCAGAGUCACCUCGAAGCCUGACUGGGGCUGGAAGGGCUGCGCCCAAACUCACUCAUGUGGUUGUCGCCGGGUCUGCCCUGGCUGCUGGCCCGAGGCUGAAUUCAGUUCCUCGCCUUGGGAGCGUCCCCCGUGGGGAAGCCUGGCAGCCGAGCGAGCGAUCCAGAAAGAGGGCAGAGCAAGAGAGUGAGAGAGAGCGCCUAAGAUGAAGCGUCGUCUGUCCUGACCCCGCACCGGCUGAGCCGGGCCUCGGCUUCUGCCCAGCGCCACUGGUCACUCAGACCGACUCUGGUACAGCAUGGGAGGCGCGGGCAUGACGGUGUGGACACCAGGGUGUGGGCUCAGCCCCGAAGGAUCAUAAACACCUGCCGCUCUCCUCGGCGCCCGCACCCCCACCCCCACCUCUCCCCUGACGUGUGACCUUGGGCAAGUUCCUAGACGCGGAGGCCUGCCGUGGGGAUGUAAAAAGAUGAGGCGCUAGGCAUCACAGUGUCUGACACACACACGCCCUCAGUAUAUGUCACCAUCGUGGGCAGCUGUUGCUAAUACAGGAGGGAAAAACCAAAGUAUCUUCCUGGAGGCAGGAGCCGUUUUAGAGCUGGGGGUGGCGCGCGCGCGCACGUGUGUGUGUGUGUGUGUGUGUGUGUUUCUAUAUGGUUCUCUUCCCAGAGCACUGGCUGAGAGCAGCUGUCCCAGGUCGGAAGCGCCUUGGGUGAGUCAUGCGGGCCAGACAGCGGGUUUAUCACUUGGACCAGACGUGGUCAUGUGUUGGGGCCUUCGUCACCCAAACAGGCGGGACGGGCUGACGAGCACAGGGGCUGCUGUCCUUUAAUACCGAGUUAGCCGGUGAUUCUUAAACGUUUUGCAGAGCGGGGAGGGAAGGACGGCUGGAGUCGUGGAAGCUUUUUGAAAGUUUACGUGAGGGGCGCCUGGGUGGCGCAGUCGGUUAAGCGUCCGA
Molecule: long non-coding RNA, 2903 nt
Organism: Felis catus (domestic cat)
Lineage: Eukaryota; Metazoa; Chordata; Mammalia; Carnivora; Felidae
Exons: 3
Source: RefSeq, a predicted model, not a curated record